UUACGGCCAUAUCACGUUGAAAUAUCGGUUUUAGUCCGAUCACCGAAGUUAAGCAACGUUGAGCCUCGUUAAUAACUAGAUGGGUGACCGCUUGGGAAUAUAGGUGCUGUAAG
Non-coding RNA from Acanthosepion pharaonis, 113 nucleotides. NCBI's taxonomy places the organism in Eukaryota, Metazoa, Mollusca, Cephalopoda, Sepiida, Sepiidae. The record is from the annotation of a GenBank genome assembly.